Non-coding RNA from Ictidomys tridecemlineatus (thirteen-lined ground squirrel), 1065 nucleotides. NCBI's taxonomy places the organism in Eukaryota, Metazoa, Chordata, Mammalia, Rodentia, Sciuridae. The record is from RefSeq and is a predicted model, not a curated record.
AUCCCCUUUUAGGGUAUCCAAGUCAAUCAUGACCAGUCAUUUACAUCUUGAGCCAUUUCUGAAAUCCAUGUGGAUUUUCUCUUCCUCAGAGUUAUGUAAAAACAUGAAUGACAGGUGAUGUCACUGAAUAACUGACAUGGGAGUGGACAGCUUGAAGAUCCUCAAAAGGAGCCAGGUAAUCAGAGAAAAAAUUACACUAAAGAUGGAGGAGGCCAACCUCUGUCCAGCUCUAGGAAGAGUCAUCCCGAUUUCCUUCUGGGACCUGCUCAGUAUGGAUUAUGGCACCAAAUAUGUGGAGAAUGUGAACUUCAGAAGAUUCCAAAUAUUUGCUAUCAAUGGAGGCAGGAAAACAGGGAAUAAGAGGACAUGGUGGGAAAGAAGAUAGAAGAAGAAACUGAGAUUCAGAGAAUUCACCCAGCUAAUAUUUGGCAGAAGGAGAGUUCAAAGUCCAGGCUGCAUGAUGCAAAUGGCAGUAACUGAAGAGGCUGUGUACAAUCCUAGGUAAGACUUUAUUAUACUUUUGCUUUUUAAAUUAGUUCUUCCCUGCAUGCUACUAUAUUGAUCAAUGUUUCUGCCCUUCCUUAAUGUUACUUCAUUUCUUCCCUUCUAUUGAUAUAUUUUAUUCCCUAUUGUGGUUUCACACAACUGAAUUAUGCAAAUGAAAUAUUAAGUCUAAAGUUAUCCAGCACCUCUUUUUUCCCAGUAACUGAACAACCUUAAAAUGUUUUAAUACUCUAGACUUUUCCUGUGUGAAUGUUAUUAUGGUAUUAUAGAUCUCUCUUUUUGAGUUUUUUUUAACACACACAUAUCAAUAAGAAUAGGAUUUUACCUUGUUUUAACAUAUCCUAGCAGUUACUCAUUACUUAUGAAAACAAUGCUUUCCAUGUAUGCCCUAUGUAUUCAUGUAAGCAUGUUUGUAUUUCAGACGCCCUUGAUGAUAGCGUAGCUGGGAAUCAAAUUCUAUUUUGAUUACUUUGGUGCAGUUUAAGGAUACAAUAUAACUGUAUUCUGGUUUCUACUAGUGGUAUUGAAUAAUAAAUAAUACAUUUAUUAUUUGUUUUUAUA